Molecule: ribosomal RNA, 253 nt
Filed under: uncultured bacterium
Lineage: Bacteria
Description: partial 16S ribosomal RNA
Rfam family: Bacterial small subunit ribosomal RNA
Source: RNAcentral
UACGUAGGGGGCAAGCGUUGUCCGGAAUCAUUGGGCGUAAAGCGCGUGUAGGCGGCUUGGUAUGUCCGGUGUGAAACCUUGGGGCUCAACCCCAAGCCUGCACCGGAUACUGCCUCGCUUGGGUCCGGGAGGGGAGAGCGGAAUCCCUAGUGUAGCGGUGAAAUGCGCAGAUAUUAGGAAGAACACCGGUGGCGAAGGCGGCUCUCUGGAACGGUACUGACGCUGAGACGCGAAAGCGUGGGGAGCGAACAGG